GACGAACGCUGGCGGCGUGCCUAAUACAUGCAAGUAGAACGCACAGUAUAUACCGUACCUUGCUACACCAUAGACUGUGAGUUGCGAACGGGUGAGUAACGCGUAGGUAACCUGCCUGGUAGCGGGGGAUAACUAUUGGAAACGAUAGCUAAUACCGCAUAAUAUUAAUUAUUGCAUGAUAAUUGAUUGAAAGAUGCAACUGCAUCACUACCAGAUGGACCUGCGUUGUAUUAGCUAGUACGUGAGGUAACGGCUCACCUAGGCGACGAUACAUAGCCGACCUGAGAGGGUGAUCGGCCUCACUGGGACUGAAACACGGCCCAGACUCCUACGGGAGGCAGCAGUAGGGAAUCUU
Molecule: ribosomal RNA, 355 nt
Filed under: uncultured Streptococcus sp.
Lineage: Bacteria; Bacillati; Bacillota; Bacilli; Lactobacillales; Streptococcaceae
Description: bacterial SSU rRNA
Rfam family: Bacterial small subunit ribosomal RNA
Source: RNAcentral